Molecule: ribosomal RNA, 493 nt
Filed under: uncultured Oomycota
Lineage: Eukaryota; Oomycota
Description: eukaryotic LSU rRNA
Rfam family: Eukaryotic large subunit ribosomal RNA (bases 437-493)
Source: RNAcentral
UAUCAGUGUCCGUACAUCAAACUUGGUUUUCUUCUGUCCGUGUAGUCGGUGGAAGAUAUGCCAGAUGUGAAGUGUCUUGUGGCUGCUUUUAGAAUCGGCCGUGAGUCGUUUGAAAUGUACAGAACGGACUCUCUUUGUUCAAAAAGCGCGGCGUUGCUGGUUGUGAAGGCUGUCAGUGUGAUUAAUCGGCGACCGGUUUGUCUGCUAUGGCAUCAAUGAAGGAGUGUUCAAUUCGCGGUAUGGUUGGCUUUGGCUAAACAGGCGCUUAUGGAACGUUCUUUCUGCUAUGACAGUAUGGACUGGUGAACCGUAGUCGUACAUGACUUGGCGUUUGAAUCGGCUAUGCUGUGCGAAGUAGAGUGACAGUUUUGGCUGUCGAGGGUCGAUCAAUUUGGGAAAUUGUGCUGUGUGAUUUCGGUCGCGUGGCAUCUCAAUUGGACCUGAUAUCAGGCAAGAUUACCCGCUGAACUUAAGCAUAUCAAUAAGCGGAGGA